Molecule: ribosomal RNA, 484 nt
Filed under: uncultured bacterium
Lineage: Bacteria
Description: partial 16S ribosomal RNA
Rfam family: Bacterial small subunit ribosomal RNA
Source: RNAcentral
AUUGAACGCUGGCGGCAGGCCUAACACAUGCAAGUCGAGCGGAUGAGGGGAGCUUGCUCCCUGAUUUAGCGGCGGACGGGUGAGUAAUGCCUAGGAAUCUGCCUGGUAGUGGGGGAUAACGUUCCGAAAGGAACGCUAAUACCGCAUACGUCCUACGGGAGAAAGCAGGGGACCUUCGGGCCUUGCGCUAUCAGAUGAGCCUAGGUCGGAUUAGCUAGUUGGUGAGGUAAUGGCUCACCAAGGCGACGAUCCGUAACUGGUCUGAGAGGAUGAUCAGUCACACUGGAACUGGGACACGGUCCAGACUCCUACGGGAGGCAGCAGUGGGGAAUAUUGGACAAUGGGCGAAAGCCUGAUCCAGCCAUGCCGCGUGUGUGAAGAAGGUCUUCGGAUUGUAAAGCACUUUAAGUUGGGAGGAAGGGCUGCUGGUUAAUACCCUGCAGUUUUGACGGUACCAACAGAAUAAGCACCGGCUAACUUCGUG